AUUAUUUUUUCGUUUGAAUCACUCGCGAUUUGCAAUUAUUUGAAAUUUGAACAAAAAUACAGACUACAGUCGUACAGAGUUCUGAUAGUUGUAUUCAUACAUUUUAUUACAAAAUCACCAUGCAUAAGUGUAUUCUUUUUAGUAAAACAUCUAAAGUAUCGCCUAGCCACAUUAUGUUAAUUUUAAUUUAUCUCCAAAAAAUGAAAAUAGAAGGAAAUAAUAAUGGCUAAACAUCUCCGAAUUAAAUGAUUUUCCCAAUUUCUAUCUGGCAUAGUAUCCGCGGUAAUCAUUUCACAAUAUUAGUGAAUGUAAACAAUGCUCUAAAAACACAAUCCAAAACCGUUUGCCUGGGAUAGAGAAGUAAAAUAAAUUUUAGUAAUUUACAGCGAAAUUGGUACUACUCUGAGCACGACUAGUAUAUCGAAUCUAAUUGAGUAAAAUCAUUUAACAUAAUUCAUGAAUUAGGUAUUUAUAUAUUUUUUACAACUUGACAUUUUCAGAAAAUUGUGUUUGUCCAACGAUGAGUUAGAAGAAAAUGAUCAGGCGCAUAAAGGAUUUCGAGGCUUUACAUGCUACUGAUUUUAAUUCACCCAGAAAAGUCUUAGAAACUAAAUAAUGUCCACACACACUUAUUUCAUACAGUGGAUUAUACUUAUUAUGGUUUUCAAAACUGAAAUAAUGAUGUACCACAUUCAAGGAACCAGGAAGUCGAGCCAAUGUAUUGGCAAUAUUUUUCAGACGUUGAAUUUCUCGAAGAUAAUUCUACAGACUCUGAUGAGGCCAUACAAUAUUGGACCGAAUUAUGAAACUUAAAGGUAAUACAAUUUUGCUGAGCAAGAAUCCAAUUUUAAUAACACAGACGGCCUCGACAUUAUAAAUAAUUAAAUUGCAAAGAAGCACAUAACUAGUUUGGACUUUGGUAUCUUUUCUGAAGAGGAAUUGAAUAUAGUUGGACGCAUUUAACAGAGUUUACACACAUAUUUUGCCCGUGUCUUAUUCUAAACAAUUGGAUCAAAAGCCACCUCCAGCUGUUAUCACACAUAUCAUUUGUGAAGUCGUAACUAAUGUACAAGAUUUUUUGACAAACGCGUCACCUGUCAGAAUGGUCGGCAUGAGCAUGAGCUGUGAAAAGAUAUGUAUUGAAGAUAUUGCUGAUAGGCUGUUAAAAGUAUCGGGGUGUCCUACAACUGUUUACUGGUCGUCAAACCCGCUCCCACACAAGGAACUUACUUCUCAACGAGGAACAACAAACUUCUUUGAAAGAAAACCAAGCGAACACCAAUUACAUUCAGUUGCACUCUGAAUCGUAUUUGUGAAUAAAAUUAUUUGUCAAUGACUUAUUCGUCAUUAUAAGAAUACUUUAUUUUAAAAAUGUAAUGUAUUUCAAUUCUAAAUAAAUUAUACUAUCAUACUUUUCAUA
Long non-coding RNA from Metopolophium dirhodum (rose-grain aphid), 1420 nucleotides. RefSeq lists it as uncharacterized. NCBI's taxonomy places the organism in Eukaryota, Metazoa, Arthropoda, Insecta, Hemiptera, Aphididae. The transcript is spliced from 6 exons. The record is from RefSeq and is a predicted model, not a curated record.